This 282-nucleotide unclassified non-coding RNA is filed under the name Hevea brasiliensis (rubber tree). Lineage: Eukaryota; Viridiplantae; Streptophyta; Magnoliopsida; Malpighiales; Euphorbiaceae. The record is from RNAcentral.
UGUCUCUCUGAUCUUUCCGGUAGCCGGCCAUGGUCGCCCGCGCAAAAACCCGAUCCCCGACACGCUGUCGAUCCCAGCCGAGACAAUGUUGGCCGAUGCGUCCUGGACGAGCUUGAGUUGGCGCAUCGGGACGAAGGGGCCGCUGGAGGCCGNCCGCUUUGCCCCCCACGCGCAUCCGGGCCCCCGACGGCGAGCCGCAGCGCAUCCUCGUCAAGGGGCAGCAGCACAUGCCCGGCGAGGAAGCGUGGCUGAUCGGUGAGUUGAGAUCGUCCGGCGAGCGCA